ACGUAGGGUGCAAGCGUUGUCCGGAAUUACUGGGUUUAAAGGGUACGUAGGUGGGCGUCUAAGUCUGGAGUGAAAGUUUGAGGCUCAACCUCGAAAGUGCUUUGGAUACUGGGCGUCUAGAAUUAGAUAUAGGUAGCUGGAAUUUGUGGUGUAGCGGUGAAAUGCAUAGAUACCACGAGGAACACCAAUUGCGAAGGCAGGCUACUGGGUCUAUAUUGACACUGAUGUACGAAAGUGUGGGUAGCGAACAGG
Molecule: ribosomal RNA, 252 nt
Filed under: uncultured bacterium
Lineage: Bacteria
Description: partial 16S ribosomal RNA
Rfam family: Bacterial small subunit ribosomal RNA
Source: RNAcentral